RNAcentral lists this ribosomal RNA (473 nucleotides) under uncultured organism. RNAcentral's name for it is "partial 16S ribosomal RNA". It matches the Rfam family "Bacterial small subunit ribosomal RNA", at positions 335 to 799 of the family's 1533-position model. The record is from RNAcentral.
ACUCCUACGGGAGGCAGCAGUGGGGAAUAUUGCACACUGGGCGCAAGCCUGAUGCAGCCAUGCCGCGUGUAUGAAGAAGGCCUUCGGGUUGUAAAGUACUUUCAGCGGGGAGGAAGGCAAUACGGUUAAUAACCGUGUUGAUUGACGUUACCCGCAGAAGAAGCACCGGCUAACUCCGUGCCAGCAGCCGCGGUAAUACGGAGGGUGCAAGCGUUAAUCGGAAUUACUGGGCGUAAAGCGCACGCAGGCGGUCUGUCAAGUCGGAUGUGAAAUCCCCGGGCUCAACCUGGGAACUGCAUUCGAAACUGGCAGGCUUGAGUCUUGUAGAGGGGGGUAGAAUUCCAGGUGUAGCGGUGAAAUGCGUAGAGAUCUGGAGGAAUACCGGUGGCGAAGGCGGCCCCCUGGACAAAGACUGACGCUCAGGUGCGAAAGCGUGGGGAGCAAACAGGAUUAGAUACCCGGGUAGUCCCAUG